GUCCCUGUAGCUCAGUUGGUAUAGCAUGGUGUUUGCAACGCCAGGGUUGUGGGUUCGAUUCCCACGGGGGGCC
Molecule: transfer RNA, 73 nt
Filed under: Salmo salar (Atlantic salmon)
Lineage: Eukaryota; Metazoa; Chordata; Actinopteri; Salmoniformes; Salmonidae
Rfam family: tRNA
About the family: Transfer RNA (tRNA) molecules are approximately 80 nucleotides in length. Their secondary structure includes four short double-helical elements and three loops (D, anti-codon, and T loops).
Source: Rfam by way of RNAcentral